AACGAACGCUGGCGGCAUGCCUAACACAUGCAAGUCGAACGAGACCUUCGGGUCUAGUGGCGCACGGGUGCGUAACGCGUGGGAACCUGCCCUUAGGUUCGGAAUAACUCCCCGAAAGGGGUGCUAAUACCGGAUAAUGUCUUCGGACCAAAGAUUUAUCGCCUUUGGAUGGGCCCGCGUUGGAUUAGCUAGUUGGUAGGGUAAAAGCCUACCAAGGCGACGAUCCAUAGCUGGUCUGAGAGGAUGAUCAGCCACACUGGGACUGAGACACGGCCCAGACUCCUACGGGAGGCAGCAGUGGGGAAUAUUGGACAAUGGGCGAAAGCCUGACCAAGCAAUGCCGCGUGAGUGAUGAAGGCCUUAGGGUUGUAAAGCUCUUUUACCCGGGAUGAUAAUGACAGUACCGGGAGAAUAAGCUCCGGCUAACUCCGUG
This 433-nucleotide ribosomal RNA is filed under the name uncultured bacterium. RNAcentral's name for it is "partial 16S ribosomal RNA". It matches the Rfam family "Bacterial small subunit ribosomal RNA", at positions 29 to 507 of the family's 1533-position model. The record is from RNAcentral.